UGUUUUGCUUCUUUUU
This 16-nucleotide small RNA is filed under the name Arabidopsis thaliana (thale cress). RNAcentral's name for it is "ATSL301560". The record is from RNAcentral. Lineage: Eukaryota; Viridiplantae; Streptophyta; Magnoliopsida; Brassicales; Brassicaceae.